CCUACGGGAGGCUGCAGUGGGGGAUAUUGCACAAUGGGGGAAACCCUGAUGCAGCGACGCCGCGUGAGUGAAGACGUACUUCUGUAUGUAAAGCUCUAUCAGCAGGGAAGAAAAUGACAGUACCUGACCAAGAAGCCCCGGCUAACUACGGGCCAGCAGCCGCGGUAACACGUAGGGGGCAAGCGGUAUCCGGAUUUACGGGGUGUAAAGGGAGCGUAGACGGUUAUGUAAGGCUGGGGUGAAAGCCCGGGGGCCAACCCCGGGACUGCUUUGGAAACUGUGUAACUGGAGUACAGGAGGGGCAGGCGGAAUUCCUGGUGUAGCGGUGAAAUGCGUAGAUAUCAGGAGGAACACCGGCGGCGAAGGCGGCCUGCUGGACUGAAACUGACGUUGAGGCUCGAAAGCGUGGGGAGCAAACAGGAUUAGAUACCCGGGUAGUC
Molecule: ribosomal RNA, 440 nt
Filed under: uncultured bacterium
Lineage: Bacteria
Description: partial 16S ribosomal RNA
Rfam family: Bacterial small subunit ribosomal RNA
Source: RNAcentral